CAGUAGCCGCGGGAAUACAGAGGGUGCGAGCGUUAAUCGGAUUUACUGGGCGUAAAGAGUGCGUAGGCGGCUUCUUAAGUCGGAUGUGAAAUCCCUGAGCUUAACUUAGGAAUUGCAUUCGAUACUGGGAAGCUAGAGUAUGGGAGAGGAUGGUAGAAUUCCAGGUGUAGCGGUGAAAUGCGUAGAGAUCUGGAGGAAUACCGAUGGCGAAGGCAGCCAUCUGGCCUAAUACUGACGCUGAGGUACGAAAGCAUGGGGAGCAAACAGGAUUAGAUACCCCGGUAGUCCCUGUCUCUUAUAC
Molecule: ribosomal RNA, 301 nt
Filed under: uncultured bacterium
Lineage: Bacteria
Description: partial 16S ribosomal RNA
Rfam family: Bacterial small subunit ribosomal RNA
Source: RNAcentral